CCUCCAGCAUGCAGCAGAUACAGAGCAGGUUGUGUUGUGUGGAAAUCUCUGCUCCUGUCCUUUCAUUCAGAGAUGAAGGAGUCGGUUAACCCCUUAAGGAUGCAGGGAUGAAGGCCUUCAGUGAAUCUGUUCACACGAGCAACAUCAGAAAAGAGGAACUUAAAGUGGCCCGACACAAGUGUCUGAGGCGGGAAAGGCAUUCUGCCAUCUUGUUGUAUGUCUAGUCAGUAGAAUGAUGAAAAGCUCUAAAGAAUUUUUAAUGAAGUUUGAAGGGACCAUUUGCAACGUCUGGAAGCCUGAACUGGUGGGUGCACAACCAAGCCAGAGGUGGCCUCACACGAGCAACACCAGGAAAGAGGAACUUAAAGUGGCCCGACACUAGUGGCUGAGGCAGGAAACGUUGUUCUAUGUAAUUUGGCCCCUGGACUCCAAGUUGGUCCUGCAGGACCGGUGUGGGGAGCGCUGCACUUUUAUGAACUCCAAAAUGAAGCCCCUUCUGUUGGCAUACAACACAAAUGUACAUGGCGGAAGCAAAUUCGGGAUCAACUGUAGAAGUGGUGGAGACAUAUCGGGGUCUGCUGGUCUUGAACCUCAUUAAAAUGAUGGACUUCUUUGGAAAAGAAGAAGGUCUGGACCUAAGGAGGAUUUCAUAUGGCUGUAUUUCAGCGUUGACUUAUUCAGAGAUGGGCCUUAUUGAAGCUGUCCCUAUCCUGCAAUCGGAGACCAUCACGAAUCAGAAGAGCGAUGACUGCAGACGCCAUAUUUAACUGGUUAAAGGGGUACUCUGCCCUUUGACAUCUUAUCCCCUAUCCAAAGGUUAUGGGAUAAGAUGUCUGAUCGUGGGGGUCCCAACAAUCUCAGUACAGCACCUGGCGUUCGUUUAGAAUGCUGGUGUGAGCGGCGAAGGUCGUGACAUCACGGCCACGCUCCUCGUGAUGUCAUGCCACGCCUCCUCAAUGCAAGUCUAUGGGAGGGGGCGUGGCUGAUGCAACGCCCCCUCCAAUAGACUUGCAUUGAGGGGGCGUGAUGUGACAUCACGAGGGGCGUGGCUGUGACACCACGAUCCCUCAUUGCUCGAUCCAAGCGUUUGGAACAAAAUGUUCCAAACACUCGGGCAGCGGAGUACCCCUUUAAGGAACAAACACCCAUAGGAGUCUCUACAGCACGCCUUGGAGGAGUUCACCCUCUCCUGCGCAGCGUAUUGUGUGGGAACCUAUGUCCUUGUUAUUGGAGAACGACACAGUGACAACAUAAUGAUCCGAGAGACAGGGCAGCUUUUCCAUGUAGAUUAUGGACACAUUCUUGGAAAAUUUUUAAACCAAGUUUGGCUUCAAACAUGAACAUCCCCCGCCAUCCUGACCUCUAAUAUUCUGCAUGUCAUAUAACACGGAAGGGCGCACAAUGAUUUUAUGUUUGAGAGGUAUCGAUUUUUGUGUGAUAAGGCUUAUAGUUCACACGAGCAACAUCGGAAAAGAGGAGCUUAAAGUGGCCCUACACUAGCGGCUGAGGCAGGAAAGGCAUUCUGCCAUCUUGUCUUAUGUCAGAUUUAUCGCUAAAUGAGCCCUAGCGAACUAGCUUCGGCAACCUAGGAGUGUGCAGGAUGUACAGGCCCGGCUGCAGCAUCUGUGGGCAACUUCUCCAUGGUGCGGUAUUUUAUUUGACAUUUGUUCACCUACUUUAAGCAGAGAAGAAGACUUCAGUAGAAUUAUCAACAAGCAUCGGGUGUGUAUUUCUGGCUUUACACACUCGCGCACUAGACUUCAAAAACUUCCACCUUUUUGUAGGUGAAAACACAAAACCGCGUGUAUAUAUGCCAGUCUCUGCACUGAAUAUAUUAUCAAGAUAUAGAUGGAUUGUCCAGAUCUUAGACUUAGGCCAAUGUAUCUUUUCUGUCGUGACUGAUUCAUAUGCGUGAAUGGAGGGGGCAAACUGUGUGUAACAGCAAUGACUCCUGAUUGGGCAGCAAUUGGUGUCCUCCAACAUUUUGCUACUCCGCCCCCCUCACAAUACAGGUCACGCCCCGCCCUCUCAAUGCAAGCCUAUGGGAGGGGGCCUGACGGCCCCCUCCCAUAGACUUGCAUUGAGGGGGCGGGGGUGACGUCACAGUACUUCGGCCCCUGUUUCAUGAGUCAUCAGACACUGAGCGAUCUGUGCUACAGGAGAGAUUGCGGGGGUCCCCAGCUGCUGGACCCCCCCACGAUCAAACAUGUUAUCCCCUCUCUUUUGGAGCGGUGCACUAUUUCCCCUCAGAGGUCCCAUCCUCCCUGUUGUUUGCUCUUGUUUUGCACUUUGUUUCUUUCUGUUUUAGCAGUUUACAGUCGUUU
Hyla sarda is the source of this 2324-nucleotide long non-coding RNA. RefSeq lists it as uncharacterized. The record is from RefSeq and is a predicted model, not a curated record. The transcript has 2 exons. NCBI's taxonomy places the organism in Eukaryota, Metazoa, Chordata, Amphibia, Anura, Hylidae.